This 643-nucleotide ribosomal RNA is filed under the name uncultured bacterium. RNAcentral's name for it is "bacterial SSU rRNA". It matches the Rfam family "Bacterial small subunit ribosomal RNA", at positions 97 to 726 of the family's 1533-position model. The record is from RNAcentral.
GGCGGACGGGUGAGUAACACGUGGGCAACCUGCCUGUAAGACUGGGAUAACUUCGGGAAACCGGAGCUAAUACCGGAUAAUCCUUUUCCUUUCAUGAGGAAAAGCUGAAAGUCGGUUUACGCUGACACUUACAGAUGGGCCCGCGGCGCAUUAGCUAGUUGGUGAGGUAACGGCUCACCAAGGCGACGAUGCGUAGCCGACCUGAGAGGGUGAUCGGCCACACUGGGACUGAGACACGGCCCAGACUCCUACGGGAGGCAGCAGUAGGGAAUCUUCCGCAAUGGACGAAAGUCUGACGGAGCAACGCCGCGUGAGCGAUGAAGGCCUUCGGGUCGUAAAGCUCUGUUGUUAGGGAAGAACAAGUAUCGGAGUAACUGCCGGUACCUUGACGGUACCUAACCAGAAAGCCACGGCUAACUACGUGCCAGCAGCCGCGGUAAUACGUAGGUGGCAAGCGUUGUCCGGAAUUAUUGGGCGUAAAGCGCGCGCAGGCGGUCCUUUAAGUCUGAUGUGAAAGCCCACGGCUCAACCGUGGAGGGUCAUUGGAAACUGGGGGACUUGAGUACAGAAGAGGAAAGCGGAAUUCCACGUGUAGCGGUGAAAUGCGUAGAGAUGUGGAGGAACACCAGUGGCGAAGGCGGCU